Molecule: ribosomal RNA, 202 nt
Filed under: Anaerostipes hadrus
Lineage: Bacteria; Bacillati; Bacillota; Clostridia; Lachnospirales; Lachnospiraceae
Description: partial 16S ribosomal RNA
Rfam family: Bacterial small subunit ribosomal RNA
Source: RNAcentral
CGGUGGAGCAUGUGGUUUAAUUCGAAGCAACGCGAAGAACCUUACCUGGUCUUGACAUCCUUCUGACCGGUCCUUAACCGGACCUUUCCUUCGGGACAGAAGUGACAGGUGGUGCAUGGUUGUCGUCAGCUCGUGUCGUGAGAUGUUGGGUUAAGUCCCGCAACGAGCGCAACCCCUAUCUUUAGUAGCCAGCAUUUCAGGU